Molecule: ribosomal RNA, 374 nt
Filed under: uncultured organism
Description: partial 16S ribosomal RNA
Rfam family: Bacterial small subunit ribosomal RNA
Source: RNAcentral
GUAGGUGGCAAGCGUUGUCCGGAAUUAUUGGGCGUAAAGCGCGCGCAGGCGGGUUCUUUAAGUCUGAUGUGAAAGCCCACGGGCUCAACCGUGGAGGGUCAUUGGAAACUGGAGAACUUGAGUACAGAAGAGGAAAGCGGAAUUCCACGUGUAGCGGUGAAAUGCGUAGAGAUGUGGAGGAACACCAGUGGCGAAGGCGGCUUUCUGGUCUGUAACUGACGCUGAGGCGCGAAAGCGUGGGGAGCAAACAGGAUUAGAUACCCUGGUAGUCCACGCCGUAAACGAUGAGUGCUAAGUGUUAGGGGGUUUCCGCCCCUUAGUGCUGCAGCUAACGCAUUAAGCACUCCGCCUGGGGAGUACGACCGCAAAGGUUA